CAGCCGCCACGGGAAUACAGAGGGUGCGAGCGUUAAUCGGAUUUACUGGGCGUAAAGCGUGCGUAGGCGGCUUUUUAAGUCGGAUGUGAAAUCCCUGAGCUUAACUUAGGAAUUGCAUUCGAUACUGGGAAGCUAGAGUAUGGGAGAGGAUGGUAGAAUUCCAGGUGUAGCGGUGAAAUGCGUAGAGAUCUGGAGGAAUACCGAUGGCGAAGGCAGCCAUCUGGCCUAAUACUGACGCUGAGGUACGAAAGCAUGGGGAGCAAACAGGAUUAGAUACCCGCGUAGUCCCUGUCUCUUAUAC
RNAcentral lists this ribosomal RNA (301 nucleotides) under uncultured bacterium. RNAcentral describes it as "partial 16S ribosomal RNA". It matches the Rfam family "Bacterial small subunit ribosomal RNA", at positions 509 to 807 of the family's 1533-position model. The record is from RNAcentral.